RNAcentral lists this unclassified non-coding RNA (392 nucleotides) under soil metagenome. RNAcentral's name for it is "partial contains 5.8S ribosomal RNA, internal transcribed spacer 2, and large subunit ribosomal RNA". The stretch from base 1 to 120 matches the Rfam family "5.8S ribosomal RNA", at positions 35 to 154 of the family's 154-position model. The record is from RNAcentral.
GAUGAAUAACGCAGCGAAAUGCGAUAAGUAAUGUGAAUUGCAGAAUUCAGUGAAUCAUCGAAUCUUUGAACGCAUCUUGCGCUCCUUGGUAUUCCGAGGAGCAUGCCUGUUUGAGUGUCAUUUAACUUCUCAACCACAUUGGAUAUUUUUUUUCCGAUGCCGGCUUGGAUGUGGGGGUUGUUUGCAGGCUUUUUGUAACAAAAAAGGUCGGCUCCCCUGAAAUGUAUUAGUGGUAUCUGAGGCUAUUACUAUUAGGUGUGAUAAUUAUCUAUGCCUUUUGGGUAUGCCGCAUGAACAGAUUAUGCUGCUUCUAACGAAAACUAUUUUGAUGAAUUUGACCUCAAAUCAGGUAGGACUACCCGCUGAACUUAAGCAUAUCAAUAAGCGGAGGA